AUUGAACGCUGGCGGCAGGCCUAACACAUGCAAGUCGAACGAGUGGCGGACGGGUGAGUCAUGUCUGGGAAACUGCCUGAUGGAGGGGGAUACCUACUGGAAACGGUAGCUAAUACCGCAUACCAUCCGAUGUUCCCAGAUGGGAUUAGCAAGUUGGGGGGGUACCGGCUCACCAAGGCGACGAUCCCUAGAUGGUCUGAGAGGAUGACCAGCCACACUGGAACUGAGACACGGUCCAGACUCCUACGGGAGGCAGCAGUGGGGAAUAUUGCACAAUGGGCGCAAGCCUGAUGCAGCCAUGCCGCGUGUAUGAAGAAGGCCGUCGGGGUGUAAAGUACUUUCAGCGGGGAGGCGUUACCCGCAGCGGAAGCACCGGCUAACUCCGUGCCAGCAGCCGCGGUAAUAC
This 406-nucleotide ribosomal RNA is filed under the name uncultured bacterium. RNAcentral describes it as "partial 16S ribosomal RNA". It matches the Rfam family "Bacterial small subunit ribosomal RNA", at positions 30 to 526 of the family's 1533-position model. The record is from RNAcentral.